Molecule: ribosomal RNA, 461 nt
Filed under: uncultured bacterium
Lineage: Bacteria
Description: SSU rRNA
Rfam family: Bacterial small subunit ribosomal RNA
Source: RNAcentral
AGAAUCAACGCUGGCGGCGUGCCUAACACAUGCAAGUCGAACGAGAAAGUGGAGCAAUCCAUGAGUAAAGUGGCGACCGGGUGAGUAACACGUGACUAACCUACCUUCGAGUGGGGGAUAACCUCGGGAAACCGAGGCUAAUACCGCAUAACAUCGCAAGAUCAAAGCAGCAAUGCGCUGGAAGAGGGGGUCGCGGCUGAUUAGCUAGUUGGCGGGGUAAUGGCCCACCAAGGCGAAGAUCGGUAGCCGGCCUGAGAGGGCGCACGGCCACACUGGAACUGAAACACGGUCCAGACUCCUACGGGAGGCAGCAGUGGGGAAUUUGCGCAAUGGGGGAAACCCUGACGCAGCAACGCCGCGUGGAGGAUGAAAGCCCCUUGGGGUGUAAACUCCUUUCGACCAAGACGAUAAUGACGGUACUGGUGGAAGAAGCACCGGCUAAACUCUGCGCCAGCAGCCGC